Molecule: ribosomal RNA, 1390 nt
Filed under: Klebsiella pneumoniae
Lineage: Bacteria; Pseudomonadati; Pseudomonadota; Gammaproteobacteria; Enterobacterales; Enterobacteriaceae
Description: bacterial SSU rRNA
Rfam family: Bacterial small subunit ribosomal RNA
Source: RNAcentral
CGGUAGCUAAUACCGCAUAAUGUCGCAAGACCAAAGUGGGGGACCUUCGGGCCUCAUGCCAUCAGAUGUGCCCAGAUGGGAUUAGCUAGUAGGUGGGGUAACGGCUCACCUAGGCGACGAUCCCUAGCUGGUCUGAGAGGAUGACCAGCCACACUGGAACUGAGACACGGUCCAGACUCCUACGGGAGGCAGCAGUGGGGAAUAUUGCACAAUGGGCGCAAGCCUGAUGCAGCCAUGCCGCGUGUGUGAAGAAGGCCUUCGGGUUGUAAAGCACUUUCAGCGGGGAGGAAGGCGUUAAGGUUAAUAACCUUGUCGAUUGACGUUACCCGCAGAAGAAGCACCGGCUAACUCCGUGCCAGCAGCCGCGGUAAUACGGAGGGUGCAAGCGUUAAUCGGAAUUACUGGGCGUAAAGCGCACGCAGGCGGUCUGUCAAGUCGGAUGUGAAAUCCCCGGGCUCAACCUGGGAACUGCAUUCGAAACUGGCAGGCUAGAGUCUUGUAGAGGGGGGUAGAAUUCCAGGUGUAGCGGUGAAAUGCGUAGAGAUCUGGAGGAAUACCGGUGGCGAAGGCGGCCCCCUGGACAAAGACUGACGCUCAGGUGCGAAAGCGUGGGGAGCAAACAGGAUUAGAUACCCUGGUAGUCCACGCCGUAAACGAUGUCGAUUUGGAGGUUGUGCCCUUGAGGCGUGGCUUCCGGAGCUAACGCGUUAAAUCGACCGCCUGGGGAGUACGGCCGCAAGGUUAAAACUCAAAUGAAUUGACGGGGGCCCGCACAAGCGGUGGAGCAUGUGGUUUAAUUCGAUGCAACGCGAAGAACCUUACCUGGUCUUGACAUCCACAGAACUUUCCAGAGAUGGAUUGGUGCCUUCGGGAACUGUGAGACAGGUGCUGCAUGGCUGUCGUCAGCUCGUGUUGUGAAAUGUUGGGUUAAGUCCCGCAACGAGCGCAACCCUUAUCCUUUGUUGCCAGCGGUUCGGCCGGGAACUCAAAGGAGACUGCCAGUGAUAAACUGGAGGAAGGUGGGGAUGACGUCAAGUCAUCAUGGCCCUUACGACCAGGGCUACACACGUGCUACAAUGGCAUAUACAAAGAGAAGCGACCUCGCGAGAGCAAGCGGACCUCAUAAAGUAUGUCGUAGUCCGGAUUGGAGUCUGCAACUCGACUCCAUGAAGUCGGAAUCGCUAGUAAUCGUAGAUCAGAAUGCUACGGUGAAUACGUUCCCGGGCCUUGUACACACCGCCCGUCACACCAUGGGAGUGGGUUGCAAAAGAAGUAGGUAGCUUAACCUUCGGGAGGGCGCUUACCACUUUGUGAUUCAUGACUGGGGUGAAGUCGUAACAAGGUAACCGUAGGGGAACCUGCGGUUGGAUCACCUCCUUACCUUAAAGAA